This 501-nucleotide ribosomal RNA is filed under the name uncultured bacterium. RNAcentral's name for it is "partial 16S ribosomal RNA". It matches the Rfam family "Bacterial small subunit ribosomal RNA", at positions 30 to 523 of the family's 1533-position model. The record is from RNAcentral.
AUUGAACGCUGGCGGCAGGCUUAACACAUGCAAGUCGAGCGGGGGAGGUUGCUUCGGUAACUGACCUAGCGGCGGACGGGUGAGUAAUGCUUAGGAAUCUGCCUAUUAGUGGGGGACAACAUUCCGAAAGGAAUGCUAAUACCGCAUACGCCCUACGGGGGAAAGCAGGGGAUCUUCGGACCUUGCGCUAAUAGAUGAGCCUAAGUCGGAUUAGCUAGUUGGUGGGGUAAAGGCCUACCAAGGCGACGAUCUGUAGCGGGUCUGAGAGGAUGAUCCGCCACACUGGGACGGGGACACGGCCCAGACUCCUACGGGAGGCAGCAGUGGGGAAUAUUGGACAAUGGGCGGAAGCCUGAUCCAGCCAUGCCGCGUGUGUGAAGAAGGCCUUUUGGUUGUAAAGCACUUUAAGCGAGGAGGAGGCUCUUAAGGUUAAUACCCUUGAUGAGUGGACGUUACUCGCAGAAUAAGCACCGGCUAACUCUGUGCCAGCAGCCGCCGUAA